Molecule: ribosomal RNA, 483 nt
Filed under: uncultured bacterium
Lineage: Bacteria
Description: bacterial SSU rRNA
Rfam family: Bacterial small subunit ribosomal RNA
Source: RNAcentral
GACGAACGCUGGCGGCGUGCUUAACACAUGCAAGUCGAGCGGUAAGGCUCCUUCGGGAGUACACGAGCGGCGAACGGGUGAGUAACACGUGAGCAAUCUGCCCUUCUCAUCGGAAUAACCAUUGGAAACGAUGGCUAAUGCCGAAUAUGACCUCGGAUCACAUGUUCUGAGGUGGAAAGCUCCGGCGGAGAAGGAUGAGCUCGCGGCCUAUCAGCUUGUUGGUGAGGUAAUGGCUCACCAAGGCAUUGACGGGUAGCCGGCCUGAGAGGGUGACCGGCCACACUGGGACUGAGACACGGCCCAGACUCCUACGGGAGGCAGCAGUGGGGAAUAUUGGACAAUGGGCGAAAGCCUGAUCCAGCAACGCCGCGUGAGGGAUGACGGCCUUCGGGUUGUAAACCUCUUUCAGCAGGGACGAAGCGAAAGUGACGGUACCUGCAGAAGAAGGACCGGCCAACUACGUGCCAGCAGCCGCAGUAACAC